This 949-nucleotide unclassified non-coding RNA is filed under the name Hevea brasiliensis (rubber tree). The record is from RNAcentral. Lineage: Eukaryota; Viridiplantae; Streptophyta; Magnoliopsida; Malpighiales; Euphorbiaceae.
GAACUGUGAAUGCAAGCCAAAGAAAAGGGGUCAUUAUAAGAAAUAUCCUGGUUCCUCAAGGUCCAAGCCUCCCUUCAAACAUCGCAAGGGAAAAAAAGCCAGUCAAAUACUUUAGAAAAAGAAGAAUGGGUACAAAGAAGUCUGAUCGUUAUUACAUUUGUGGAAAUCGAGGGCAUUAUGCAAAAAAACUAUCCCAAGAAUCCUUACAAGGUUGUUAAGCUUUUGCAGCAUAUUCAACAGGCUUCUCAUAUCUCUCUGGAACAUGAUGACAUUGAAUCUUUAUUUUCAGAACAAGAUGAGCCAGAUGAAGAAACUGUCUUCACUCUUGGGGAAGAUACUGAUUUUGACCAAGCCCAGUCUCUGUCUUCAUAAAGCUCAGAAUCCGACUCUGAAGCCUAUUACCCAUUCUACUUGGCCCAAAAUAUCCAAUCUUCUCGAACUACCUGCAGCCCAGACACUAUUCCUAUCCCUCUGGUCCCAUUACAUGUCUUGCCCAGUAAAUAUGAACGGCCCAUAUGUGUUAUUGGAUUUCUUGACACUGGAGCUCACAAAAGUAUGAUGAACCCAGCCAUACUCCCUCCAGAAUAUUGGGUUCCGCACACAUAAUAUUUUAAAGCAACUGAUGGGAAUGUCUUUAAGACUAACCUAAUCACCAAGCAACCCAUCGGUAUUCAGUUUUUUCCCACCUGCAUCCUUUGGACCAAGAUCAUUGGAUCAGACCUCCCUGAUAAAGACUUUUUAAUUGGGUUUGACUUGUACCAACAAGCAAAACAUUUGAAAAUCUUGCCAAAGGGAUUGAAAUACAAAAGAAACUUCUAGCCUUUCACCUCUGUUCCUAAACUAUAUUCCUUAACAGAUGCCUCAAUAGAAUUUCAAGAACACAAAGAACUUCUCCUAAAGUCUUGUGCAGAUUCUCAUGUACAGUUCCACCACCAUCACCCCUUAUGGA